This is a small nuclear RNA of Ursus americanus (American black bear), 104 nucleotides long. NCBI's taxonomy places the organism in Eukaryota, Metazoa, Chordata, Mammalia, Carnivora, Ursidae. The record is from Ensembl.
GUCCUCAAUGCAGUGACACAUAUACUAAAAUUGGAACGAUACAGAGAUUAACAGGGCCUCGGCACAACCAUGACACACAAGUUCGUGACGUGUUCCAUAUUUAU